GAUGAAGAACGUAGCGAAAUGCGAUAAGUAAUGUGAAUUGCAGAAUUCCGUGAAUCAUCGAAUUUUUGAACGCACAUUGCGCCCGCUGGUAUUCCGGCGGGCAUGCCUGUUCGAGCGUCAUUUCAACCCUCAAGCUCUCCGGAGUUUGGUGUUGGGGCGCCUGGGGCUUUUCGACCUCAGGGCCCUCAAGUCCAUCGGCGGGACCGCCAGGACACUGAGCGCAGUAGUAUUAUUUCGCUCGGUAGGAUCUUCCACGGCGGGUCGAUCUGGCCGCUAAACCCCCCAAUUCUCACCAAAGGUUGACCUCGGAUCAGGUAGGAAUACCCGCUGAACUUAAGCAUAUCAAUAAGCGGAGGA
This 357-nucleotide unclassified non-coding RNA is filed under the name soil metagenome. RNAcentral describes it as "partial contains 5.8S ribosomal RNA, internal transcribed spacer 2, and large subunit ribosomal RNA". The stretch from base 1 to 120 matches the Rfam family "5.8S ribosomal RNA", at positions 35 to 154 of the family's 154-position model. The record is from RNAcentral.